Oncorhynchus nerka (sockeye salmon) is the source of this 1358-nucleotide long non-coding RNA. RefSeq lists it as uncharacterized. The transcript has 3 exons. NCBI's taxonomy places the organism in Eukaryota, Metazoa, Chordata, Actinopteri, Salmoniformes, Salmonidae. The record is from RefSeq and is a predicted model, not a curated record.
CUCAAAAAUACUUUUUAAGCUCUAGCAGAUGUCCAUCCCUGAGAACCUGAAUGCACGGUUUGAAACGCCACCAAAAGCUGAAGCGGUUGAGAGAAAAUCCAGAUUCAAUCAAGGGGGGAGUCUGAAUCCUGUGUAGACUCCUUCAGCGUCAGGUAGCUGCUGGUGGAUCCGGAGGAUGACACAUCUGCCACCAGAACCACCAGUACGCCAUCAGCACUGCCAGUACGCCAUCAGCACUGCCAGUACGCCAUCAGCACCGCCAGUACGCCACCUGCCUACCACCAGUACCCCAUCAGCACCGCCAGUAUGCCACCUGCCUACCACCUGUACGCCACCUGCCUACCACCAGUACGCCACCUGCCUACCACCAGUACACCACCUGCCUACCACCAGUACGCCACCUGCCUACCACCAGCACACCACCUGCCUACCACCAGUACGCCACCUGCCUACCACCAGCACGCCACCUGCCUACCACCUGCCUAAUGUUUAUGACCAAAGCCAUGUUUUGACAACAGUAUGCUCAGUUCUCUGGCUCAACAGUCUAAAGUGCCAUCCUCUUCUUGUCUACUUCCCCAAUCAGUUGUGAUACAGGAUAUGAAGUCAAUUCCUGUCCUGCCCUCAGUGGAAGAGUUGAGCUCUUCUCCAACACCCUCCAUCCAUGAUGAGCCUGUCUUGCACGGCUACUUCCUGACCUUGCCCCCCCCCCACCACCACAUUUUUUAACUCAUGUAAUCCCUCCCCUCUCAACACCGAUCCUAUCAGGAAUGAGUGCCUAUCUCUCUCCCAGCACUCAUACUGGUCAGACUCCAAAGGAUAUCCUGUACCCCGCAGCAGCAUCCAUGGUAAACUUGGACAGUCUGUUCAUACAGUGCUGCCUGCUAAAACCUGAUCCCCCAACAUCUGUCCAUACAUUACCACCUGCUAAAACCUGAUCCCCCCCAACAUCUGUCCGUGCAUUACCACAUGCUAAAACCUGAUCCCCCAACAUCUGUCCGUACAUUACCACCUGCUAAAACCUGAUCCCCCAACAUCUGUCCGUACAUUACCACCUGCUAAAACCUGAUCCCUCAACAUCUGUCCGUGCAUUACCACCUGCGAAAACCUGAUUCCCCAACAUCUGUCCAUACAUUACCACCUGCAAAAACCUGAUCCCCCAACAUCUGUCCGUACAUUACCACCUGCUAAAACCUGAUCCCCCAACAUCUGUCCGUACAUUACCACCUGCUAAAACCUGAUCCCUCAACAUCUGUCCGUGCAUUACCACCUGCUAAAACCUGAUCCCACAACAUCUGUCCAUAUAGUACAACAUGCCAACUUGUGAAAAAUAAAGACUCAGUGUACCUUGUUUUCACUCA